UUACAUUUAUUGUAGUUAUUUUGGAAAAAGGACUGUAAUAAGAAUGUUGGUUAUGACCAUUUGAGUCUUUGUUUGAAUACCUCAACAUUUCUUUCCUACAGAGCAUCACAGCCAGAAGGGGCUUGAAAAAAGGAACAAGACUUUACCGAAGAAUUGCCCCUACCAUAUUGGUCGUGACUCCUUCGAAAUAAGGAGUUACGGGAAGGAGAGGAUGAGAAAGGGCAUUAAAGAAGUCCUUGUUGAUUGGCAGCCUUGCCCAGUUUGUGGGAAGGAGUGGGCCAGGUCCUGGCAGCCAAAAGAUUUGAAUUAGUCCCCCUGCCCUCUUCAAAUAAAAACAUAUUUUCAGUCUUUCUAGAAUGUGGUGCUACUCCUGAUACAUGAUUGCCCUGCC
Long non-coding RNA from Gadus morhua (Atlantic cod), 391 nucleotides. RefSeq lists it as uncharacterized. The transcript has 4 exons. NCBI's taxonomy places the organism in Eukaryota, Metazoa, Chordata, Actinopteri, Gadiformes, Gadidae. The record is from RefSeq and is a predicted model, not a curated record.